GACGAACGCUGGCGGCGUGCUUAACACAUGCAAGUCGAACGGAAAGGCCCUGCUUUUGUGUGGUGCUCGAUUGGCGAACGGGUGAGUAACACGUGAGUAACCUGCCCUUGACUUUGGGAUAACUUCAGGAAACUGGGGCUAAUACCGGAUAGGAUCUCCUGCUGCAUGGAGGGGGUUGGAAAGUUUCGGCGGUUGUGGAUGGACUCGCGGCUUAUCCGCUUGUUGGUGGGGUAGUGGCUUACCAAGGCUUUGACGGGUAGCCGGCCUGAGAGGGUGACCGGCCACAUUGGGACUGAGAUACGGCCCAGACUCCUAAGGGAGGCAGCAGUGGGGAAUAUUGCACAAUGGGCGGAAGCCUGAUGCAGCAACGCCGCGGGCGGGAUGACGGCCUUCGGGUUGUAAACCGCUUUCGCCUGUGACGAAGCGUGAGUGACGGUAAUGGGUAAAGAAGCACCGGCUAACUACGUG
Molecule: ribosomal RNA, 468 nt
Filed under: uncultured bacterium
Lineage: Bacteria
Description: partial 16S ribosomal RNA
Rfam family: Bacterial small subunit ribosomal RNA
Source: RNAcentral